Long non-coding RNA from Nothobranchius furzeri (turquoise killifish), 3119 nucleotides. RefSeq lists it as uncharacterized. The record is from RefSeq and is a predicted model, not a curated record. Lineage: Eukaryota; Metazoa; Chordata; Actinopteri; Cyprinodontiformes; Nothobranchiidae.
GAGGAUUACAAAAAUCAAUUUCAGGAGCUGGGAACAGAAUUUGCAUCGUGGCAAAGAGAAAUCUGUGCGUGUUGUGUUUUCCCCCAAAGGCCACUGCUGCUCUUUUGUAUAAAAACUCAUACAGGAGAAGAUUUCAUUAAGGACUCUAAAGAACUUCUUCUACCUGUGGUGAAACUGGAAACGAGAGGCAUUCAGUUCUUACAUUUACAAAAUGAAAUGUUAGUAUCUUCCCCAAAUGUGCUGCUCUGCUUAUAAAAGGAAAGAAAAAUGCACGAGGGAAACAUUGUAAUUAAGAGUUGUCCUUGAAAGCUUAUAAGUGCACUGCCUGUCUGCAAAAUCACAGCCAUGUAUGAAUAAAGGUUAUACUGGAAGUAGUGCUGAUUAUGUUAAUAUUAAAAUUAUUGUAAAAUAAAUUGCUUUAAUUAGUUUAACUGAGGUUUUAGCAGCAACUAAUUUCCAAUUUAAUACGGCUGAAUACACUUCCCAAUGAAAAAUGUGACUCAGCUCUUUCUCUUUUUAACGCUGACUGGUUUUUUGUUGUUUUAAUUCUCUUAACAUUUUUUAAUCACAAUUGUCUAUUUUUGCUCAUUUUGAAUACAUUUAUAAACAUUUUCUAAAUGUUUUUUAUAUUUUUACAUUUUUUGUUUUUGUGAAGCGCCUCUCAGUUGCCUUUCAGUAUCACUGCCUACCGAUAGGUGGCGGUGUCGCGUUUUUUUGCGUCGCUUUGACCUCUAAUCAACCGAAGCAGUUAGCUUAGCACGUUCCUUAGUCACGAUGACAUUGAAAGCUGAAACUCACCAAAGUCCUGUUACUUGGUCCAACUUCAAGUAAUAAAACCUGACAGCUGAAUUAAAUCUGGAUCCAUCGCCUGAAUCCCUCUCAUUGCGUGGGAGGGGCUACGGCUGAUGAUGACAACAUGGUGGCUCGCUUUAUGGACUAUUCCUAACCAGCAGGUGUAGAGAGUCCCCAUGUCCAGCAUGGAGAGCAGCUCGGCUUUGGAUUUGGGGAAAGACAGACGGUAUCGCAGCGUCUCAAAGGCCGGAACCACCAGAGCCUUCUUGGUGUGAGCCAUGUCCAACUGGACCACAGCCUUCCUGUAACAGCAGCAGACAAACCAAGAGUGUGAACGUGAACUUCUGGCUCCCAAUCAUCACGAGGACGCUCAGCGUAGUCGGUCCGGGUUUCCUCUCAUCUACGGAACAAACACACCGAGGAUCUGCCAGCCAAAACGUCCCCCUGAGACUCACACUCGGAUAUUGGCUUGUCACACUUUUUCUUCCCGUUUGACUCCAUCUUUGUUAUUUUGAUGGAGUUAGGGGGUUCUAGACUACUUUGUGGACGGGUGGGUUUCUGUUAGUCCACGUAAUCCAAAACUAAUCAAAAAGAAAUGCCAAUUUUUUUUAUUUUACUAUGUAAAUGUUGUUUUUGUGGAAAAGGGAAUUAAACUUUAAUAGAUCACUGAAACUUUUAUAUGAUUAUGUCCAAUUCUAAUAGGUCACUGAGUGUUUCAUGCAGGCCGAACAUGAAAAUAGUCACCUACACCUACCUCCUACAUCAGCUCUGAUAGAAAACAGACUAGGAUUAGAAAAUCCUGACAGAUCUACGUCACAAUGUCACUUAACAGUCAUGGACUCAUCCAUCUUGACUCAUGAUGGAGAAGGCUGUUGUUGGUUUAGCGUCCAGGAAACAGCAGAGAACAUGUUGGCUACUAGAAGCUACUAUCGAAACUUCUGGGUAAUUUUACCGGAUCAUUUCAGGAUGCACAUGUUUCUUCACUGAGCCAUUUCAGGCACCAGAACUGGGGCAUGCAAUCACAAAUGGCCCAGUUUGUGGUUAAUUAGUUGGUGGUAGCUCAGUAGGUAAUGACAUCAGCAGAUGUCACACAGCUGGUAUUAGUAAAACUGGAAGUUGUUGGUGAAUCGGAAUGGAAAGUAAAGGAAAAAAGCAGAUUUAUGCUUCUAAACUCAACCCUGAAAACACAAGAGGGAAAUCUCUCGUUUACGCUGCUUUGUAGUUUUUUACGGCACUUCUUUUGGUCCAUUUUACGUCACACAGAUGCUCUCCUAGUCCCCUGAAAGGAUGAAAUUACAUCGUUUUUUGACAGAAUAAACUUUGUCAACGUCAUUAACUCAUUCACUGCCAAUGAAGCCCAAAAAUCGUCAUUUGCAUUUUUUUUUUUAACUGUGUGGGCGUCGGACGAGCCCCCGCACCGUGAAAACAAACAUCUCCGCUCUAAAGCCGAUCUUCAUCCGCACACGUCACGUGAUCAGGAAGCAGAACAUCCAUGUGUUAGGAGAUCGUUUUGGGCCGCUGUUGUAAAAAAAGUGAGGCGCAAACCGGAAAAGCCUCUGCCGAUCACAAUUCAACAACGGAUUAUGAAAGAACGGAUAAAGCUUGAAACGCGCCCAUUCUUCCUGAUGUAAGAGGUGAGUCUCCACGUUGUUUUGGUUGUUUUGGCGUCGGCAUCAUCCUAGCGCACAACGUUCUGUCACUCUUUAAAAAAAACAGUAAAACGGUGAGAAACGCUGGCAGUGAAGGGCUUUACCAAUCAGGAAACGGCUGGUAGUGAAUGAGUUAAUGUUUGUGGACGCCUUUUGGCGCUGAUCAGUGACAUCGCCCAAUGCUGAAAAGAUUGCAAUAUGCCGAAAUCUCAUCAAAGUCUUGAAACGACUGAAUUUAGUGUGGAGACACAACUGAGAGAUCCGAGCCAUCGUAUUUUCCUGUCACCUUUCUCCCUCUCCAAGAAAUUUCCCAAAGCUCCGGUGGACAGUUGGCUGUGGGUUUGGUCCCCAUGUUGAGAUGUUUUGAUCACAUUCCUGAACGUGUGAAACCAUCUGGAGCGCACAGAGAGAAGAUUUUCUCCACCUCCAUUGUGAGAGUAAAACUAGUUCUAAGAUCUGGAGUUUCAACUUUUUCCUCCAAGAGUUUCCAUGAUGAACCUCGGGUGAACUUCUAGGGCAGGGGUGUCCAAUCCUGGUCCUGGAGGGCCGGUAACCAGCAGGUUUUGUGGUUUUUCUGCUUCAACACGCUUGAUUAGCUGGUUGAAUCACCUGUGCAGCAGCUCAUCAGGCUCUGCAGAAGCCUGUUAAUCACCUGCUGAUUGAAAUCAGGUGUGUUGA